CCUACGGGUGGCAGCAGUGAGGAAUAUUGGUCAAUGGGCGAGAGCCUGAACCAGCCAAGUCGCGUGAGGGAGUACUGCCCUAUGGGUUGUAAACCUCUUUUGUCGGGGAGCAAAAGCCGGACGUGUCCGGCUGUGAGAGUACCCGAAGAAAAAGCAUCGGCUAACUCCGUGCCAGCAGCCGCGGUAAUACGGGGGAUGCGAGCGUUAUCCGGAUUUAUUGGGUUUAAAGGGUGCGCAGGCGGAUUUUUAAGUCAGCGGUAAAAUCGUGGGGCUCAACCCCCUCCAGCCGUUGAAACUGGGGAUCUAGAGUGUGCGAGAGGUAUGCGGAAUGCGUGGUGUAGCGGUGAAAUGCAUAGAUAUCACGCAGAACCCCGAUUGCGAAGGCAGCAUACCGGUGCACAACUGACGCUCAGGCACGAAAGCGUGGGUAUCGAACAGGAUUAGAUACCCCGGUAGUC
Molecule: ribosomal RNA, 458 nt
Filed under: uncultured bacterium
Lineage: Bacteria
Description: partial 16S ribosomal RNA
Rfam family: Bacterial small subunit ribosomal RNA
Source: RNAcentral